RNAcentral lists this long non-coding RNA (1950 nucleotides) under Apteryx owenii (little spotted kiwi). RNAcentral's name for it is "lncRNA (ENSAOWG00000013212.1)". The record is from RNAcentral. Lineage: Eukaryota; Metazoa; Chordata; Aves; Apterygiformes; Apterygidae.
AUGUAUAGUGAGCAUCUGGGAUGCACACUGUUUAGUCUUUAAUAGGGAUGACUUUGCUGAUAAAAUAUGCAUCUAAGUAUUACUGUACAGACGCAAGCACUUGAUGGUCUUAGAUUAGAAUUGCUUUGAUUCUGGGACUUUCACUUGAAUAACAGGGAAAGACACCAGGCAGUUCAUUAGGAUGAUUGUAAAUAUAUUUUACCUUAAUAGUAUGGACACCUAAGCUGUGGUAUCUUAUAAGUGAAAAGAUUAAUGAUACUUGAGCAGCAGCAAUAACAUAUGCCAACAGUGACAGGAGCCUUACAAAAAUGGUAGUUACAGAACACUCACAUAUUAAUGUGAUCUGAGACUCCCAGGUGCAUCAGUUUGAAUCACAAAUACUAAUUCUGUAUUAAGGUUAGUCCAACUAGUUAUAUAUAUGUUCAGAGCUGUUAUGCUGGCUGUCUUGUAAAUGUCAUUAAAGUAAUUGAUGGGAUUUUUCUUCAUUAGGUUUGCUGUUUAAAGAGUUGGUGAAUGGCAUUGGGGCUGUGGGAAAUGUAGCUUGUCUGGUUUUGUCAUGUGACACAUCCUGAAUUUAUAGGAAAAAGCUGAACUGCUGACCAUGUGGUUGUGGCAAAAAUACUAUCUUCAAAAUAGAAACAGAACUACCUAUUUUAGUUUAUUCAUUUCUCCAGAUUACUUUAAAGAUUAGAUUGCAUUCCAUUCAGUUAAGGGCUUUUCACUAAAAGUUCAUCUCUACAAAUAUAUAACAGAGGCUCAAACAAUCCACUCCCACUAAUCCUUCCACCAUUCAGGGCAGCUAUGCUAAAUACCAGGAACACAGAAGCUCUGGAAUACUUUGCAAGUGAUGUGAGCUCUGCUUUGUCUUGUGAACUUGCUGUGACUUCAGUCCAGAUGCUUCUCUGCCCCGAGAGAGAGAGAAGAGUGAAAUUGCAAUAUCCAAAUUUCAAAAAUUUCCAAAAUCAAAAGGAAAGAUGCAGAUUUGGAAUCAGCAUACUGAAGACACCUUAGCUAAAAACUUGUAGUUCUUCUAUGAGGACUUCAAAUUCUGGUAGAAGAGAUGUGACUGCAGAGAAUCAUGUGGAAUUUCAUGCAUCAGAGCUCUUGAGAAGGAUGGAAGGUUUGUGAGAAGAAACUGCAAAACCUCUGCUUGGUUACUUGUUGCUGCAGUGCCUUGUGGGAUCACUCGCAGUCAGGCAGUAAUAUCGAAGGCUGUUAGUCUGUUAAAAAUGAGCAUGAAUGGCUUACUCUGAACUAAAGAUGCAAGUAAUAAUCCAUGUAUAUCUUUAGUCUGCUUCCUAGAUAUGCCUAAAAGCAGAGAAAGAGGAGACAUGUCCUUUUGAAAUAUUCCUAGAAAUACACCUUUAGUAUUUUACAUAUGUUGCUUUUAUGCUGCCAUCUCAAAGUGGUCUCUGUAUACAGUACCGCAAAAGUCUGACAAUUCUUAAAUUUUGGUCAUGUGCUUUUGCUACUGUUUUUUAAACUUAAGAAAUUUGAUUCAAGACCUUUACCCUCAAGGUGUCCCAGUUCUUAACCUGCUUUGCUGUCUGGCCACCUGUAUCACUUAUUUGACCUAUUGGUGUAAGGAAUCUUACUGUAACUAUAUCGAUUUCCUAUGUUGCACUGUUUUUAAUCUUUUCUUUUUGCAAAGCUAAAGCUCUGAUGAGGUAGAAGGAGAAGGUAGGGUAAUGAGACAUAAAUUCAGGAAUGUCUAGAUGUCUUAAUGAAGUCUGGCGCUCGAAAAAUAGAUUAGCUGGGAAAUCUUCUGUAUUGGAAGUCCUGUAAGUAAUUUUAGUUAAAUACUAGCUUACGUAAGAUAUUUUUGUAAUAAUACCAGUUGUAAGAUAUCCAUCAUCAAUAUCCAUUUUAAUUGGCUGGUGCCAAUUGUUUGGCAGCAUGUGUUUCCCAGCAGGUCAAGGGAGGUGAUCCUCCCCCUCUACUCAGCCCUGG